AAAUAGAAGAAUUUAAUUUUGGUUCUGAUUGAACGUUAUUCAGUAGUUUGAGACAUGCGAAUCGUUAUUCUAUAAUAUUUAUUUAUAAAUAAAUGAAGGAAUAAGGUGUAAAGGUGAGUAAAGAUAAAUAAGGUACCUUAUAGACCUCAUAAAUAGAGGAUAUAAAUAUAAUUUUUUUUUAAAGUUAUAUUUAAUAAUUAGCUUAAUUAUAAAAAAAGGAAUGUUUCUACUAUAAGCAUCGAUUUAUUUUGUUUAAUGGUAGUUGGAAGGGUAAAAGCCUACCAAGCCUACGAUCAAUAGCCAAGUUUGAAAGAACAAGUGGCCACAUUGGGAAUGAGAAGCCCCAAAUUGCAUAAGCAAUCUGCAGUCAAGAAUAUUAGUCAAUGCUCGCAAGAGUGAACUAGCUAACUGAAAUCACAAAAUCACUUAAAUGUGCAAUUGUGAUAACGUAAGGGAAAAAAAAUGAUAUUACCUUACUAUUAGUGUUGUCUAAAUUACUGGUGCCAGAAGACUCGGUAACACCAGAAACGCGAACGUUAGUCGUCUUCAACAGGCGUAAAGAGUGAGUAGGCUGCUUACAAAUUUUUAAAUUAAAAAUAAGCUAUAUAAAAUUUACAGCCCGAAUGUUAAAUAAAAUAUUAAAAGAAAAGAAAUCUGUAAUUUUAUAAUAAUAUUUAAUUUAGAAAAAAUAAAAGCUAGAAUCUUAUUGAGGAUAAACCAAAUAAUACUUAAGUGUAGGGAUGAUAUCCUUAGAUACUAAGUGGAAUACUAACGGUGAAGACUUUUUAUCUACUAAAGAUUGACGCUGAGGAACGAAAGUGAGAAUAGGGAAUAGGAUUUUAAAUUGCGACCUGAAAAGCUUAUUUAAAGUAUUGCGGAGUAACUCCGUAUAAUAAUCUGUCUUAUUAUAGUUCGCCUUAAUAGACUAGCUUAGGUAAUAACUAGUUUAAAGCUUAAGGUAUAAUUAAAGAAAAUUUAAUUUGAACUGUCUACUAUGAUUAGAGAAAUCGAAUCUAUGUAAUUAAAGGUUCUAAUAACUAGGGUAAUCACGUGUCCUUGGUGAUUAUCAGACGGACAAACAGUUAUAGGAUCAAAGUAGGAAUCUAAGGAAGACUAAACGUACUUAAAUAGGAACAGGGAAACUCCUAUAAUCUGCUAUAAUUAUAGCAAGGAAAUUAGCAAUAUUUUCCCAUAGAUUAGAGGAAACAAGACACGUAAAAAGCGAAGGCUAUUAUGUAAUGUAGUAGAUAGGCUCUUAUUAAAAAAAAAAAUAAGAAAUAGCUAAUCUGAAAGGAUGCUGACUUACGUUAGGGUGAUUAUAAAGUAUUAGAAAAAAAGUGAAUGUAUUAUUAUGGACAUGGAAAAUAAAACAAUAAAUAAAAAUUGAAUCGAAUGGUUUGUAGGAUUUUGUGAUGCGGAUGCUAAUUUUCAAGUAUUUCCUAAAAAAAGAUCUUAUUUAAAAAAAGAAGGUAUUUUAAGUGAAUAUAUUAACGUUGGUUAUGGUUUUCACAUAAGUUUAAGUAUUAGAGAUAUAGAAUUAAUUAAGGACUUUCAAAUUAAAUUUAAUAAUAUAGGACAUAUUUAUACAUACCCUGAAAAAGAGGAAUGUAGAUGGGCAGUUACUAAAAAAUCGGAGUUAAUCCAUCCUUUGCUUUUGACUUUGUUCUUAUUUUUAUUCAAAAUAAGAAUAAAAAUAAAAGCAAAGGCAAAAGUUAAUAGAAACCGCUUUUUCUUUUGAAGAUGUGAUACUAAACACGAAACAUCAAAGAGAAAGACUAGCCAGAUUAAAAUAUGUGCUAUUAAAUAAAGUUAAGAGAUUUGAAACCUUAGAAGAAUUUAAUAAAUUUCUUGAAACUAGCUAUGUGUUAAAGGAAUACAGCGAUGAAUAUAUGGCCCCUCCCCCUUGCUUUAUCAAGGCAAUAGCUGUUGGUUUCACCAACAAAAGUUCUUGCUUGCGAAGCAAGCAAGGGGCCAGCUCAAGUUUAAUUAAAACAAGGUACUGCUUUUCAAAUUUGGAUUUUAGGUUUUAUAAAUGGUGAAGGUUGUUUCUAUGUUAGAGGGUUUUUAAUCUUUAGUAUAGAACAUACUGAUAGAAAAGCUCUUGAAUUAUUUAAAGAAUAUCUAGACUUAGGUCCAAAUAUUGUUGAAAGAGGAAAUAGGGGAAAUACCAGACAAAAUACUUAUUCAUUAACAAUACAAUCAAAGAAGGAUAUACUAACUAUUAUUAAUUUAUGUGAACUAUUAAAUAAAUUAGAGGGUUAUAAAUUAAAACAGUUUAAUAGUUGGUUGCUUUCUAGUUUAGUUGUUAUUUAAGUAUAGUAUUAGAGAUUACUAAACCUUAUAAAAUAUAGGAAUACAUUUUAUUGCUCCGUAGGACCUUCGCCCCCGAACUUUUGUUGGUGAAACCAACAGCUAUUGCCUUGCAAAAGCAAGGGGGAGGGUAAGAUCUAGGGCAUAACUUAUUUAAACUUUUUUUUAACUUACUUUAUAAUGGCUUGAGCCGUAUGCGAUGAAAGUCGCACGUGCGGUUCUUUGUGGAAGAACAGUUGUAAAACUCUGAUUCCACGGUUAGAUACCCAGUUACCUCUCACCGUCAACGAUGAAUGGUAGUUGUUAGUUUGAAUAAAUUGAUAACGAUGUUAACGCGAUAACCAUUCCGCCUUGAGAGUACGGUUGCAAAACUGAAACCAAAAAAAUUAGUCGGUCUCGGAGCAAACGAAGUGAAGCAUGUUAUUUAAUACGAAAGUACGCGUAAAAUCUUACCAGUUCUUGCAUAUCCAAUCUCUCAAUAUUUUACUUUAUUUAAACUUUUUAUUUUUUUUUAAAAUAUUUAUUGAUUUAAAUUAUUGACUAGAUUGUGUAGUUUCUAAUAAUUAAAAAGGGAAAAAAAAAAAUAAAUAUAUUUACUUUUUUAAUUUAUUUUUAUUUUAUUUUUAUUUUUUUUAACUUAUGCGAGCAUAAGCAAAGGGUAAAAAUAAAAUAAAAAUAGAAAUUCGUUUACAGGUGUUGCAUGGCUGUCGUCAGUCCGUAUUGUGAAAAGUGAGGUUAACUCCACUAACGGACGAAAUCCCUGUUGUUAAUUUAUACUUAACUAUUAAUGAUUAUUAAAUAUUUUCAUUUGGGGCUAAGACAAGUCGUUAUGGCCCUCAUGAACUGGGCUAUAGACGUGCCACAAUAACUUUUACAAAAUGACGCAAAACUUCAACUAAUUUUUAAAAUUUUUAUUUUAGUUGCCUUUUACUUGUAUUGUAAAAAGCAAAAUUUUUUAAUUUUAUAAAAUAGUUCUAAGGUCUAGCUAAUCACUAAAAAAAGUUUUAUUAAUUUUCACGAAUUAUUGCCUGUAACUCGGCAAUAUGAAGAAGGAAUUUCGAGUAAUCGUUGUUUAGUACGCAACGGUGAAGUCUGAAUCCGUGAUGAACUAACUGUCUGUCGCUGGGGAGGAAUUCGGAUUGGGGGAAAUCGCCGCGAAACUUAUCUAAAACAAAAAAUACACUUAAAUUAAAUAAUAAGUUUAAUUUUUAAUUAUAUUUUAUUAUAUUAAAUUAAGUGUAGUUAUUCUUAUUAUUCUAUAAUUUAGAGUAGCUCAUAUUUUUGCUUACUUACCCACUUUGUUUUUAUUUGUACUUUUUAAAUAACCUUAUGGCCGAUUGUUUGUAUUCUUAAUUUGAAUACCAAUAUGAACCAAAAAGGCAGAGGCUACGAAGGAGUACUAGUUUAAGCCAAAGCUAAAUAAAGUAAGAUCUAAAAAGGUAGCAAUAACUAUUUUUGUUAAGAAUUUGUAGUUUCGAUCAACCCUUCUGAGUAACAUCUCAAAAGUCAUAGCAAGGUAGCUGUACUGGAAAGUGCUGCUGGAAAAUAAA
Molecule: ribosomal RNA, 3860 nt
Filed under: Gymnopilus junonius
Lineage: Eukaryota; Fungi; Basidiomycota; Agaricomycetes; Agaricales; Galerinaceae
Source: RNAcentral